GAUGCCCUGGCAGUCAGAGGCGAUGAAGGACGUGCUAAUCUGCGAUAAGCGUCGGUAAGGUGAUAUGAACCGUUAUAACCGGCGAUUUCCGAAUGGGGAAACCCAGUGUGAUUCGUCACACUAUCAUUAACUGAAUCCAUAGGUUAAUGAGGCGAACCGGGGGAACUGAAACAUCUAAGUACCCCGAGGAAAAGAAAUCAACCGAGAUUCCCCCAGUAGCGGCGAGCGAACGGGGAGCAGCCCAGAGCCUGAAUCAGUGUGUGUGUUAGUGGAAGCGUCUGGAAAGGCGCGCGAUACAGGGUGACAGCCCCGUACACAAAAAUGCACAUACUGUGAGCUCGAUGAGUAGGGCGGGACACGUGGUAUCCUGUCUGAAUAUGGGGGGACCAUCCUCCAAGGCUAAAUACUCCUGACUGACCGAUAGUGAACCAGUACCGUGAGGGAAAGGCGAAAAGAACCCCGGCGAGGGGAGUGAAAAAGAACCUGAAACCGUGUACGUACAAGCAGUGGGAGCCUCUUUAUGGGGUGACUGCGUACCUUUUGUAUAAUGGGUCAGCGACUUAUAUUCUGUAGCAAGGUUAACCGAAUAGGGGAGCCGAAGGGAAACCGAGUCUUAACUGGGCGUUAAGUUGCAGGGUAUAGACCCGAAACCCGGUGAUCUAGCCAUGGGCAGGUUGAAGGUUGGGUAACACUAACUGGAGGACCGAACCGACUAAUGUUGAAAAAUUAGCGGAUGACUUGUGGCUGGGGGUGAAAGGCCAAUCAAACCGGGAGAUAGCUGGUUCUCCCCGAAAGCUAUUUAGGUAGCGCCUCGUGAAUUCAUCUCCGGGGGUAGAGCACUGUUUCGGCAAGGGGGUCAUCCCGACUUACCAACCCGAUGCAAACUGCGAAUACCGGAGAAUGUUAUCACGGGAGACACACGGCGGGUGCUAACGUCCGUCGUGAAGAGGGAAACAACCCAGACCGCCAGCUAAGGUCCCAAAGUCAUGGUUAAGUGGGAAACGAUGUGGGAAGGCCCAGACAGCCAGGAUGUUGGCUUAGAAGCAGCCAUCAUUUAAAGAAAGCGUAAUAGCUCACUGGUCGAGUCGGCCUGCGCGGAAGAUGUAACGGGGCUAAACCAUGCACCGAAGCUGCGGCAGCGACACUAUGUGUUGUUGGGUAGGGGAGCGUUCUGUAAGCCUGUGAAGGUGUGCUGUGAGGUAUGCUGGAGGUAUCAGAAGUGCGAAUGCUGACAUAAGUAACGAUAAAGCGGGUGAAAAGCCCGCUCGCCGGAAGACCAAGGGUUCCUGUCCAACGUUAAUCGGGGCAGGGUGAGUCGACCCCUAAGGCGAGGCCGAAAGGCGUAGUCGAUGGGAAACAGGUUAAUAUUCCUGUACUUGGUGUUACUGCGAAGGGGGGACGGAGAAGGCUAUGUUGGCCGGGCGACGGUUGUCCCGGUUUAAGCGUGUAGGCUGGUUUUCCAGGCAAAUCCGGAAAAUCAAGGCUGAGGCGUGAUGACGAGGCACUACGGUGCUGAAGCAACAAAUGCCCUGCUUCCAGGAAAAGCCUCUAAGCAUCAGGUAACAUCAAAUCGUACCCCAAACCGACACAGGUGGUCAGGUAGAGAAUACCAAGGCGCUUGAGAGAACUCGGGUGAAGGAACUAGGCAAAAUGGUGCCGUAACUUCGGGAGAAGGCACGCUGAUAUGUAGGUGAAGUCCCUUGCGGAUGGAGCUGAAAUCAGUCGAAGAUACCAGCUGGCUGCAACUGUUUAUUAAAAACACAGCACUGUGCAAACACGAAAGUGGACGUAUACGGUGUGACGCCUGCCCGGUGCCGGAAGGUUAAUUGAUGGGGUUAGCGGUAACGCGAAGCUCUUGAUCGAAGCCCCGGUAAACGGCGGCCGUAACUAUAACGGUCCUAAGGUAGCGAAAUUCCUUGUCGGGUAAGUUCCGACCUGCACGAAUGGCGUAAUGAUGGCCAGGCUGUCUCCACCCGAGACUCAGUGAAAUUGAACUCGCUGUGAAGAUGCAGUGUACCCGCGGCAAGACGGAAAGACCCCGUGAACCUUUACUAUAGCUUGACACUGAACAUUGAGCCUUGAUGUGUAGGAUAGGUGGGAGGCUUUGAAGUGUGGACGCCAGUCUGCAUGGAGCCGACCUUGAAAUACCACCCUUUAAUGUUUGAUGUUCUAACGUUGGCCCCUGAUCGGGGUUGCGGACAGUGUCUGGUGGGUAGUUUGACUGGGGCGGUCUCCUCCUAAAGAGUAACGGAGGAGCACGAAGGUUGGCUAAUCCUGGUCGGACAUCAGGAGGUUAGUGCAAUGGCAUAAGCCAGCUUGACUGCGAGCGUGACGGCGCGAGCAGGUGCGAAAGCAGGUCAUAGUGAUCCGGUGGUUCUGAAUGGAAGGGCCAUCGCUCAACGGAUAAAAGGUACUCCGGGGAUAACAGGCUGAUACCGCCCAAGAGUUCAUAUCGACGGCGGUGUUUGGCACCUCGAUGUCGGCUCAUCACAUCCUGGGGCUGAAGUAGGUCCCAAGGGUAUGGCUGUUCGCCAUUUAAAGUGGUACGCGAGCUGGGUUUAGAACGUCGUGAGACAGUUCGGUCCCUAUCUGCCGUGGGCGCUGGAGAACUGAGGGGGGCUGCUCCUAGUACGAGAGGACCGGAGUGGACGCAUCACUGGUGUUCGGGUUGUCAUGCCAAUGGCACUGCCCGGUAGCUAAAUGCGGAAGAGAUAAGUGCUGAAAGCAUCUAAGCACGAAACUUGCCCCGAGAUGAGUUCUCCCUGACUCCUUGAGAGUCCUGAAGGAACGUUGAAGACGACGACGUUGAUAGGCCGGGUGUGUAAGCGCAGCGAUGCGUUGAGCUAACCGGUACUAAUGAACCGUGAGGCUUAACCUU
Molecule: ribosomal RNA, 2878 nt
Filed under: Escherichia coli 5-366-08_S1_C1
Lineage: Bacteria; Pseudomonadati; Pseudomonadota; Gammaproteobacteria; Enterobacterales; Enterobacteriaceae
Description: bacterial LSU rRNA
Rfam family: Bacterial large subunit ribosomal RNA
Source: RNAcentral